This is a long non-coding RNA of Papaver somniferum (opium poppy), 1476 nucleotides long. RefSeq lists it as uncharacterized. NCBI's taxonomy places the organism in Eukaryota, Viridiplantae, Streptophyta, Magnoliopsida, Ranunculales, Papaveraceae. The transcript has 6 exons. The record is from RefSeq and is a predicted model, not a curated record.
UAUUCUUCCCCCUUUUCUUUUUCUGUUAAAGCUCUUUCCUAAUUGUUAACGAAGAAGUUUUGUCCCAAGAAUGAAAACCAUUUCUUCAAACAGUGAUGAGGUAAAUUUUUGGUUAGAAACAAAAUAUUGUUUUCAUCAACAUCAUCUUUCUUAUCUCUCUCAUUUUCUUGUCAAUUUGCCCCUAAAUUUCAAACCCUAACAUUUUCCUCAUAAACAAAAUCAUAACAUUUUCUUCAUGGUCCCUGUAAAUUUACCAAUUAGGUGUGCAGCACUACACUUAAGUGAAUUCAGGAGAUUUGACAUAGCCGAAUACGAUGAGAGUGGUUGUAUCAAUUGGUUAAAUGAAUUCUCCAUGUACCGCAACAAAUUGUUUCAGAAAGAGUUGGAUACCCACGUUAGUUAAUGUUGUUUACCACAGUGGUGUCAUUAAGAUUUACCAGUCUCCCAAACCAUUCGAUUGUGUGGGAUCAAAUGUCAAUUAAUAGAGCUGGAAAUGUCGAUAAUAGGAUUUGAGAGUUGAUUCUCCAAGCAUGUUGUGGAGGUGAAGGUCUACAACUGCAACAAAUCUGUUCAACAUGGAAUUGUUUAUGCAAGAGUUUAUGGUGUAUGUGAAUUGAUAUGGUUUUCAUUUUAUUAUCUUUUAGAUUUUAUCGUCUUCGUUGUAGUUUUACAAUUUGAGAAAAUGGCUCCUGAACAGAAACUUGUAAUGUUGGUAAAGGAGUUGUUGGUUGAAAUUUUUGGGUAGUUAAUUUUAGAGGAGAGUUGAAGUUACUGUGUCUCCAAGACAUCACAAACACGUAUCUGGGUUUGAGUUGUCACAGUAUAUUUUUCAUAAGUGCACACGGCAAGUUUGGCUAGCACCAGGUCUGAUGAGUUGCUGGAUGUUAUUAUAGGAGUGUCGGAUUCCUUGGUGUGGUAUUCUGAAUCUAAGUUAUAUAAAAUAUUGCAGAAGUUCUCAACCAAAGAAGCCAAGAAGUGGAGAUUGUGUUCCAUAACACAUCAUGUAAAAAAUCCGAGCAGCGCAGGCUCUCUUUUAUUCUUGAACCUGUGUUCGUCGAUGACCUCCAAGAAUGUUACUGUGGUUAUGAACGUAGGCUUUACCAUUGAUGCUUUAUUUUCCGAUCGGGCGCGACGUUCUCGUUGGGACCUUCGCAUCCUUUCCUGUCAAUUCAAUUAAGUGUGGAUCGAUUAGACUGCACAUGACUGCAUGCUUCUUUGGUCCAAGGAUACAUUUCUGAGUCCCGGAAUCAGUGACCGAUGUUAUUUGUGGAAACUGGCUGUUUGGCAGUUCUUGUUUGUGCCUUUGCCGCCACUCUUUUUCUUGUUUUUCUUGUUCUCUUCGUGCUUGUUGUGCCAAGGAUCUUAAUAUAGAAGUUUCCGUCUUUUGAUCAGGUCCAAGUAUACCUUUCUGUAUCACAGAAUCGGUGACCGAUGCUAUUUGUGGGAACUGACUGUUUGACAAUUUUUAUUUGCCUA